Non-coding RNA from Macaca mulatta (Rhesus monkey), 452 nucleotides. The record is from RefSeq and is a predicted model, not a curated record. NCBI's taxonomy places the organism in Eukaryota, Metazoa, Chordata, Mammalia, Primates, Cercopithecidae.
GAGUGGUCUAAGGCAGGGGAGAGUUCAGCUGAGCUGCCUGCAUGGAUGUCAGGACCUGGGCACCGAGGGCCGAUCACCGCAAGGCCCUGGUUAUUUUUUGAUUCCUAAUUUGAAAGAAAAGGGGAGAGGAGAGACAAAGUUAGGCUGUAAAGAGGUGAGAGGCCCUGCCUGGGGUUGCAGGAUGGCUAGUGGAUGAGCCAGAACUAAACCCCAGUCCCAGAAUGGCCAGUUCUUUCUGCUGCACGGAAUCGAGGCUGGACUGUGGAUGUGGACUCACCUGGGCUCUAUUCUUCACUCUGCCAUUUCCUGGUGAUGUGACUGCGGAUGGGCAUCUUAACCUCACUGGGCCUCAGUUUCCUGAUCUGUAAAAUGAGGAUAAUUUUCUUUGGAUUGUUGUGAUGUUUCAGUGAUAUAAUGCAAGUAAAAAGCAUUUAGCACAGUGUAUCACACAA